CCUACGGGAGGCUGCAGUGAGGAAUAUUGGACAAUGGACGAGAGUCUGAACCAGCCAAGUAGCGUGAAGGAUGACUGCCCUAUGGGUUGUAAACUUCUUUUAUAUGGGAAUAAAAUGUUCCACGUGUGGGAUUUUGUAUGUACCAUAUGAAUAAGGAACGGCUAACUCCGUGCCAGCAGCAGCGGUAAUACGGAGGGUCCGAGCGUUAUCCGGAUUUAUUGGGUUUAAAGGGAGCGUAGGUGGAUUGUUAAGUCAGUUGUGAAAGUUUGCGGCUCAACCGUAAAAUUGCAGUUGAAACUGGCAGUCUUGAGUACAGUAGAGGUGAGCGGAAUUCGUGGUGUAGCGGUGAAAUGCUUAGAUAUCACGAAGAACUCCGAUUGCGAAGGCAGUUCACUGGACUGCAACUGACACUGAGGCUCGAAAGUGUGGGUAUCAAACAGGAUUAGAUACCCGAGUAGUC
This 460-nucleotide ribosomal RNA is filed under the name uncultured bacterium. RNAcentral's name for it is "partial 16S ribosomal RNA". It matches the Rfam family "Bacterial small subunit ribosomal RNA", at positions 338 to 795 of the family's 1533-position model. The record is from RNAcentral.